Molecule: non-coding RNA, 675 nt
Organism: Biomphalaria pfeifferi
Lineage: Eukaryota; Metazoa; Mollusca; Gastropoda; Planorbidae
Source: the annotation of a GenBank genome assembly
GUGCAGAAUCAGUUAGCCAUAAUGAACGGACAUUUGUAAUUUAUUGUUUCUUAUGGGUUAUAAUAUUUCAAUUUUAAAUACACCAUAAGGAUUUCGAGGAAUCGUUUAGUUGUUAACCCAGAUCUAUCAAGAUGUGCAUGCACAGUGUGUGGAUGUAAAAGUGUAAGGAUGUAAAACUAGACAUAUAUGGUCCAAUGGUGCUGAUUCAUUGAUCAUGUUUUUGUUUUUUUUAAAUAGCCAGUAGGUUUUAAUUUUGUUACCACUGAUUUGGCAUUCAGUGUACAAGACUGCAUUUACCAAGACUUUUGUUGGAUAUGCUGGUAGUGCCCAUACAAUGUCAUGAGUUCAGAGGAAAAUUAGGUUGAUAUAUUUUGUAUCCUAAUUUUUUAUAUAAAAUGUUUUUAUUGUUAGCAGUUGCAAGGAGUCAUUGUAAAAUUUGCUCCCAUAAGGAUUAACAGUGUGUGAUAUUUAAUAAAUUGUAAAAAUAAUUGCAGGGAGAGGUCACCUCUUUUUCCUAAGCUAGAAAUAUGUUUUAAAAAUUUAUCAUUAUAUCUUACAUUUGUAUGCUGUUUCUCAUUGUUGCAUGUCCAAAGUUAAUGGUGAAGAUGUGACUUUGACAAUGUGUUAAAGUUUGAUUGAUUGAAGUUUUUUUUCCGAUUUAGUGUGAAUUAUUCG